AGAAGAAGACAGCAGACCAGCGCGGCAACUGUUGAAAUGUUCCUUUUGUCAGCAGGAGCAUUACAUAACUGCCAGAAGAGGAGAUGGCAGAUGGAAUGACUUUUAAUCAAGGAGCAUUAUAUAACUGCCAGAAGAAGAGACAGCCGAUGGAAUUACUUUUAAUCAAGGAGCAUUAUACAACUGCCAGAAGAGGAGAUAGCAGAUGGAAUAACUUUUAAUCAAGGAGCAUUAUAUAACUGCCAGAAGAGGAGAUAGCAGAUUGAAUGACUUUUAAUCAAGGAGCAUUAUAUAACUGCCAGAAGAGGAGAUAGCAGAUGGAAUUACUUUCAAUCAAGGAGCAUUAUAUAACUGCCAGAAGAGGAGAUAGCAGAUGGAAUGACUUUUAAACAAGGUAAUGGUGGUUAUUUGGUCAAAAUUUGGUCAAGGCUCUUCCUGAUCGUCUCUUCAGGAUGCACCGUUUUGUGGAAAGGACGCUCAGCGGGGACUCGGCUUGAUGUCCGACCUGAAGCCCGGGCGCCUGCUGCUUGUUUGCAGGGGGCCCGAUCCGGCCAUGACCCCUGUAAUGGUUUCUGUGGUUGGAACCACUUCCAUAGUCACAUGAGAACCAGACCCGGACCACGUUCUUUUUAAGGUCCAGCUUCUCGGCGAUGGCGGCGAUCUUCUCCGAGGAGGGCCGAGGCUGCACGGCGAAGUAGGCCUCCAAGGAGCGCUUCUCCGGGGCGGCGAUGGACGUGCGUUUCCGC
Molecule: long non-coding RNA, 743 nt
Organism: Entelurus aequoreus (snake pipefish)
Lineage: Eukaryota; Metazoa; Chordata; Actinopteri; Syngnathiformes; Syngnathidae
Exons: 10
Source: RefSeq, a predicted model, not a curated record